Molecule: ribosomal RNA, 1068 nt
Filed under: uncultured bacterium
Lineage: Bacteria
Description: bacterial SSU rRNA
Rfam family: Bacterial small subunit ribosomal RNA
Source: RNAcentral
CCUACGGGAGGCAGCAGUGGGGAAUUUUGGACAACGGGGGCAACCCUGAUCCAGCCAUGCCGCGUGCGGGAAGAAGGCCUUCGGGUUGUAAACCGCUUUCAGCCGGAAAGAAAUCGCUAUUCCUAAUACGAGUAGUGGAUGACGGUACCGGAAGAAGAAGCACCGGCUAACUACGUGCCAGCAGCCGCGGUAAUACGUAGGGUGCGAGCGUUAAUCGGAAUUACUGGGCGUAAAGCGUGCGCAGGCGGCCUUAAAAGUCAGAUGUGAAAUCCCCGAGCUCAACUUGGGAACUGCGUUUGAAACUCUAAGGCUAGAAUAUGUCAGAGGGGGGUAGAAUUCCACGUGUAGCAGUGAAAUGCGUAGAGAUGUGGAGGAAUACCAAUGGCGAAGGCAGCCCCCUGGGAUAAUAUUGACGCUCAUGCACGAAAGCGUGGGGAGCAAACAGGAUUAGAUACCCUGGUAGUCCACGCCCUAAACGAUGUCUACUAGUUGUUGGUGGAGUAAAAUCCAUGAGUAACGCAGCUAACGCGUGAAGUAGACCGCCUGGGGAGUACGGUCGCAAGAUUAAAACUCAAAUGAAUUGACGGGGGCCCGCACAAGCGGUGGAUUAUGUGGAUUAAUUCGAUGCAACGCGAAAAACCUUACCUGGCCUUGACAUGUACCGAAUUUACCAGAGAUGGUUUAGUGCUCGAAAGAGAACGGUAACACAGGUGCUGCAUGGCUGUCGUCAGCUCGUGUCGUGAGAUGUUGGGUUAAGUCCCGCAACGAGCGCAACCCUUGCCAUUAAUUGCCAUCAUUUAGUUGGGCACUUUAAUGGGACUGCCGGUGACAAACCGGAGGAAGGUGGGGAUGACGUCAAGUCCUCAUGGCCCUUAUGGCCAGGGCUUCACACGUAAUACAAUGGUCGGUACAGAGGGUUGCCAACCCGCGAGGGGGAGCCAAUCCCAGAAAGCCGAUCGUAGUCCGGAUUGUAGUCUGCAACUCGACUACAUGAAGUCGGAAUCGCUAGUAAUCGCGGAUCAGCAUGUCGCGGUGAAUACGUUCCCGGGCCUUGUACACACCGCCCGU